This 708-nucleotide ribosomal RNA is filed under the name uncultured Enterobacteriaceae bacterium. Its description in RNAcentral is "bacterial SSU rRNA". It matches the Rfam family "Bacterial small subunit ribosomal RNA", at positions 794 to 1502 of the family's 1533-position model. Lineage: Bacteria; Pseudomonadati; Pseudomonadota; Gammaproteobacteria; Enterobacterales; Enterobacteriaceae. The record is from RNAcentral.
GUCACGCUGUAAACGAUGUCGAUUUGGAGUUUGGGGGCAUGACCCUUGGGCUCCGGAGCUAACGCGUUAAAUCGACCGCUGGGGAGUACGGCCGCAAGGUUAAAACUCAAAUGAAUUGACGGGGGCCCGCACAAGCGGUGGAGCAUGUGGUUUAAUUCGAUGCAACGCGAAGAACCUUACCUGGUCUUGACAUCCAUAGAAUCUUUCAGAGAUGAGAGAGUGCCUUCGGGAGCUAUGAGACAGGUGCUGCAUGGCUGUCGUCAGCUCGUGUUGUGAAAUGUUGGGUUAAGUCCCGCAACGAGCGCAACCCCUAUCCUUUGUUGCCAGCACGUAAUGGUGGGAACUCAAAGGAGACUGCCGUUGAUAAAGCGGAGGAAGGUGGGGACGACGUCAAGUCAUCAUGGCCCUUACGACCAGGGCUACACACGUGCUACAAUGGCGUAUACAAAGGGAUGCGAAGGUGCGAACUGGAGCGGACCUCACAAAGUACGUCUAAGUCCGGAUUGGAGUCUGCAACUCGACUCCAUGAAGUCGGAAUCGCUAGUAAUCGUGAAUCAGAAUGUCACGGUGAAUACGUUCCCGGGCCUUGUACACACCGCCCGUCACACCAUGGGAGUGGGUUGCACCAGAAGUAGAUAGCUUAACCUUCGGGAGGGCGUUUACCACGGUGUGGUUCAUGACUGGGGUGAAGUCGUAACAAGGUAACCA